CCUACGGGAGGCAGCAGUAGGGAAUAUUGCUCAAUGGGGGAAACCCUGAAGCAGCAACGCCGCGUGGAGGAUGAAGGUUUUAGGAUUGUAAACUCCUUUUGUGAGAGAAGAUAAUGACGGUAUCUCACGAAUAAGCACCGGCUAACUCCGUGCCAGCAGCCGCGGUAAUCCGGAGGGUGCAAGCGUUACUCGGAAUCACUGGGAGUAAAGGGUGCGCAGGCGGGCUUGUAAGUCAGAUGUGAAAUCCUGUAGCUUAACUACAGAACUGCAUUUGAAACUAUGAGUCUAGAGUGUGGGAGAGGUAGGUGGAAUUCUUGGUGUAGGGGUAAAAUCCGUAGAUAUCAAGAGGAAUACUCAUUGCGAAGGCGACCUACUGGAACAUUACUGACGCUCAUGCACGAAAGCGUGGGGAGCAAACAGGAUUAGAUACCCUAGUAGUC
RNAcentral lists this ribosomal RNA (440 nucleotides) under uncultured bacterium. RNAcentral describes it as "partial 16S ribosomal RNA". It matches the Rfam family "Bacterial small subunit ribosomal RNA", at positions 338 to 795 of the family's 1533-position model. The record is from RNAcentral.